RNAcentral lists this ribosomal RNA (1549 nucleotides) under uncultured bacterium. Its description in RNAcentral is "16S ribosomal RNA". It matches the Rfam family "Bacterial small subunit ribosomal RNA". The record is from RNAcentral.
UUGAUCCUGGCUCAGAACGAACGUUAGCGGCGCGCCUAAUACAUGCAAGUCGUGCGAGAAAGGGCUUCGGCCCCGGUAAAGCGGCGCACGGGUGAGUAACACGUAGGUCAUCUCCCCUCGAGUGGUGGAUAACCCUCCGAAAGGAGGACUAAUACAGCAUAAGACCACGACCCAUUGAGGUUGCGGUCAAAGCGGACCUCUUCUUGAAAGUUCGCGCUUGAGGAUGAGUCUGCGGCCCAUCAGCUAGUUGGUAAGGUAACGGCUUACCAAGGCUAAGACGGGUAGCUGGUCUGAGAGGAUGAACAGCCACACUGGAACUGAAACACGGUCCAGACUCCUACGGGAGGCAGCAGUAGGGAAUCUUGCGCAAUGGACGAAAGUCUGACGCAGCGACGCCGCGUGAGCGAUGAAGGCCUUCGGGUCGUAAAGCUCUGUGGGGAGAGACGAAUAAGGUAUGGCUAACAUCCAUGCCGAUGACGGUAUCUCCUUAGCAAGCACCGGCUAACUCUGUGCCAGCAGCCGCGGUAAGACAGAGGGUGCAAACGUUGUUCGGAAUUACUGGGCGUAAAGCGCGCGUAGGCAGCAGCGUGUGUCGGGCGUGAAAUCCCACGGCUCAACCGUGGAAGUGCACUCGAAAACUGCGCAGCUAGAGCCUCGGAGAGGAAAGGCGGAAUGCUUGGUGUAAGGUGAAAUUCGUAGAUUUCAGCGGAACACCGGGUGGCAAGGGCGGCCUUCUGGACGAAUGACUUGACGCUUAAACCGCGAAAGCGUGGGGGAGCCAACCAGGAUUAAAUACCCCUGGUAGUCCACAGCCGUAAACAAUAAUUGCUAUGUUGUCAACGGGCUUUGACCCUCGUUGNUGCCGCAUAACCCGUUAAGCCACUCCCCCUGGGGAGUACGCCGCAAGGCUAAACUCAAAGAAUUGACGGGGCCCCGCACAACCGGUGGAGCGUGUUGUUCAAUUCGACGCAACGCGAAGAACCUACCUGGGCUAGAAAGUACGAGAAUCCCGGGCGAAAGUUCGGAGUGCCUUUUCGGGGAACUCGUAGUUAGGUGCUGCAUGGCGUCGUCAGCUCGUGUCGUGAGAUGUUGGGUUAAGUCCCGCAACGAGCGCAACCCCUGUCGUUAGUUGCCAUCUAUUCAGUUGGGCACUCUAACGAGACUCCGACCUUCAAGUCGGAGGAAGGUGGGGAUGACGUCAAGUCAUCAUGGCCCUUACAGUCCAGGGCUACAAACGUGCUACAAUGGCCGGUACAAAGGGCAGCAAACCCGCGAGGGGAAGCCAAUCCCAAAAAGCCGACCUCAGUACGGAUAGGAGUCUGCAACUCGACUCCUUGAAGUCGGAAUCGCUAGUAAUCGCUGAUCAGCAUGGCAGCGGUGAAUACGUUCCCGGGCCUUGUACACACCGCCCGUCACACCAUGGGAGUCGAUUGCUCCAGAAGUGGCUGCGCCAACCCGCAAGGGAGGCACCUCCCCCAAGGAGUGAUCUGGUAACUGGGGUGAAGUCGUAANAAAGGUAANCCGUAGGGGAACCUGCGGACUGGAUCAC